UAUGAGGUGAACAUGUUAAAGGUACUGUAGUGAAUUGAUUCAAUGGAAACUUAUACUAUGUCUCCUCAUUAUGAGGUGAACAUGUUAAAGGUACUGUAGUGAAUUGAUUCAAUGGAAACUUAUACUAUGUCUCCUCAUUAUGAGGUGAACAUGUUAAAGGUACUGUAGUGAAUUGAUUCAAUGGAAACUUAUACUAUGUCUCCUCAUUAUGAGGUGAACAUGUUAAAGGUACUGUAGUGAAUUGAUUCAAUGGAAACUUAUACUAUGUCUCCUCAUUAUGAGGUGAACAUGUUAAAGGUACUGUAGUGAAUUGAUUCAAUGGAAACUUAUACUAUGUCUCCUCAUUAUGAGGUGAACAUGUUAAAGGUACUGUAGUGAAUUGAUUCAAUGGAAACUUAUACUAUGUCUCCUCAUUAUGAGGUGAACAUGUUAAAGGUACUGUAGUGAAUUGAUUCAAUGGAAACUUAUACUAUGUCUCCUCAUUAUGAGGUGAACAUGUUAAAGGUACUGUAGUGAAUUGAUUCAAUGGAAACUUAUACUAUGUCUCCUCAUUAUGAGGUGAACAUGUUAAAGGUACUGUAGUGAAUUGAUUCAAUGGAAACUUAUACUAUGUCUCCUCAUUAUGAGGUGAACAUGUUAAAGGUACUGUAGUGAAUUGAUUCAAUGGAAACUUAUACUAUGUCUCCUCAUUAUGAGGUGAACAUGUUAAAGGUACUGUAGUGAAUUGAUUCAAUGGAAACUUAUACUAUGUCUCCUCAUUAUGAGGUGAACAUGUUAAAGGUACUGUAGUGAAUUGAUUCAAUGGAAACUUAUACUAUGUCUCCUCAUUAUGAGGUGAACAUGUUAAAGGUACUGUAGUGAAUUGAUUCAAUGGAAACUUAUACUAUGUCUCCUCAUUAUGAGGUGAACAUGUUAAAGGUACUGUAGUGAAUUGAUUCAAUGGAAACUUAUACUAUGUCUCCUCAUUAUGAGGUGAACAUGUUAAAGGUACUGUAGUGAAUUGAUUCAAUGGAAACUUAUACUAUGUCUCCUCAUUAUGAGGUGAACAUGUUAAAGGUACUGUAGUGAAUUGAUUCAAUGGAAACUUAUACUAUGUCUCCUCAUUAUGAGGUGAACAUGUUAAAGGUACUGUAGUGAAUUGAUUCAAUGGAAACUUAUACUAUGUCUCCUCAUUAUGAGGUGAACAUGUUAAAGGUACUGUAGUGAAUUGAUUCAAUGGAAACUUAUACUAUGUCUCCUCAUUAUGAGGUGAACAUGUUAAAGGUACUGUAGUGAAUUGAUUCAAUGGAAACUUAUACUAUGUCUCCUCAUUAUGAGGUGAACAUGUUAAAGGUACUGUAGUGAAUUGAUUCAAUGGAAACUUAUACUAUGUCUCCUCAUUAUGAGGUGAACAUGUUAAAGGUACUGUAGUGAAUUGAUUCAAUGGAAACUUAUACUAUGUCUCCUCAUUAUGAGGUGAACAUGUUAAAGGUACUGUAGUGAAUUGAUUCAAUGGAAACUUAUACUAUGUCUCCUCAUUAUGAGGUGAACAUGUUAAAGGUACUGUAGUGAAUUGAUUCAAUGGAAACUUAUACUAUGUCUCCUCAUUAUGAGGUGAACAUGUUAAAGGUACUGUAGUGAAUUGAUUCAAUGGAAACUUAUACUAUGUCUCCUCAUUAUGAGGUGAACAUGUUAAAGGUACUGUAGUGAAUUGAUUCAAUGGAAACUUAUACUAUGUCUCCUCAUUAUGAGGUGAACAUGUUAAAGGUACUGUAGUGAAUUGAUUCAAUGGAAACUUAUACUAUGUCUCCUCAUUAUGAGGUGAACAUGUUAAAGGUACUGUAGUGAAUUGAUUCAAUGGAAACUUAUACUAUGUCUCCUCAUUAUGAGGUGAACAUGUUAAAGGUACUGUAGUGAAUUGAUUCAAUGGAAACUUAUACUAUGUCUCCUCAUUAUGAGGUGAACAUGUUAAAGGUACUGUAGUGAAUUGAUUCAAUGGAAACUUAUACUAUGUCUCCUCAUUAUGAGGUGAACAUGUUAAAGGUACUGUAGUGAAUUGAUUCAAUGGAAACUUAUACUAUGUCUCCUCAUUAUGAGGUGAACAUGUUAAAGGUACUGUAGUGAAUUGAUUCAAUGGAAACUUAUACUAUGUCUCCUCAUUAUGAGGUGAACAUG
Molecule: long non-coding RNA, 2154 nt
Organism: Dreissena polymorpha
Lineage: Eukaryota; Metazoa; Mollusca; Bivalvia; Myida; Dreissenidae
Exons: 4
Source: RefSeq, a predicted model, not a curated record